GCGCGAAAACUUUACAAUGCUGGCAACAGCGAUAAGGGAACCUCGAGUGCCAGGCUACAAAUCUGGCUGUCGAGAUGCCUAAAAAGCAUUUCAUAGCAAGGGCCGGGCAAGACCGGUGCCAGCCGCCGCGGUAACACCGGCGGCUCGAGUGGUAACCGUUAUUAUUGGGUCUAAAGGGUCUGUAGCCGGCCGGAUAAGUCUCUUGAGAAAUCUGGCAGCUUAACUGUCAGGCUUUCAGGAGAUACUGUCUGGCUCGAGGCCGGGAGAGGUGAGAGUUACUUCAGGGGUAGUGGUGAAAUCUUGUAAUCCUUGAAGGACCACCAGUGGCGAAGGCGUCUCACCAGAACGGACCUGACUGCAAGGGACGAAAGCUAGGUGCACGAACC
Molecule: ribosomal RNA, 386 nt
Filed under: uncultured prokaryote
Description: bacterial SSU rRNA
Rfam family: Archaeal small subunit ribosomal RNA
Source: RNAcentral